CUCGAGCAGCUACAGUAUCGUGUACGCGUUUGAGUCUGCGUAUCAAACUUCUCGAGACCAAUUUUUCACAAUGACUACGGUUACCUAUAACUUCGUAUAUGCUUUGUUGAAGCUUGAAGGAAGAAAGAUGUUGCGAAUGAACAUGCUGGACAAUUUCUAUCGUGGAAUCUAUUGGCCAGAGUAACAUAAUGGCUUGGACUAUGAUUCCUUGAGAUUUGAAAGAAGAAACGAUUGAAAAGGAACAUGUUGGACGAUUUUUAUUAUGGAAUAUGGCCAGAGUAACGUAAUGGCUUGGACUAUGAUUCGUUGAAAUUUGAAAGAAGAAACGAUUGGAAAGGAACAUGUUGGACGAUUUUUAUUAUGGAAUAUGGCCAGAGUAACGUAAUGGCUUGGACUAUGAUUCGUUGAAAUUUUGAAGAAGAAACGAUUGAAGAAGAACAUGUUGGACUACUCUUAUUAUGACUGUAGGCGUCAACGAUGUGUGUUAAACUGUACAUAGGAUGAAUCUUUUGGAGAUGGGUUUCCAAUAGCAACUACGGAAGUUCGUUGCGAAACGUGAGUCUAAGUUUCGAAGAACGCGGUAUAAACGUUAAAAUAUUUCAAGCUCGAAUUAUACGGUUCAAAGUCGAUGACUUUCUGUUGGCGAAUAAAUGGAGAAAAAGAUUGGAAAUUAUAGACGGACUAUCGAUUAUUGCCGAAAAUAAUCGAAAGCGAAGAAUAAGGAAGAUAAUAUUUCAAACCGGACACUAAACCAACCUUCUACGUUUGUUCGCCGUCUUCUGUAAAUGGGAAAAGUAAAGGAGAUGAAUAAACGAGCUUCGUACGAGAAAACGUGACGAGCAGACGCCAAGAUAAACGUAGAUGAUCACUCGAUAGCUUACGAGGAACGAGCAGGAUGUAUAAAAACAUGGAAUUUCUUGAAAAAACGUUUGAUCCAACAAUCAGUAACUCGAUAUGUACAGAUAUAUUUGAAGAAAUACUUGAUAACACGAAGUAAUUUAUACUUUGUUUCAACUUGAGUCCCAUCUGAUCAUAAAUUAGAAUAAUAAAUCGGAAGAAUAAAUCUUCAUAAAUCAGAA
Bombus terrestris (buff-tailed bumblebee) is the source of this 1079-nucleotide long non-coding RNA. RefSeq lists it as uncharacterized. Lineage: Eukaryota; Metazoa; Arthropoda; Insecta; Hymenoptera; Apidae. The record is from RefSeq and is a predicted model, not a curated record. The transcript has 5 exons.